This 444-nucleotide ribosomal RNA is filed under the name uncultured bacterium. Its description in RNAcentral is "partial 16S ribosomal RNA". It matches the Rfam family "Bacterial small subunit ribosomal RNA", at positions 339 to 795 of the family's 1533-position model. The record is from RNAcentral.
CUACGGGAGGCUGCAGUGGGGAAUAUUGCACAAUGGGCGCAAGCCUGAUGCAGCAACGCCGCGUGAGGGAUGAAGGCCUUCGGGUUGUAAACCUCUUUUAGCAGGGAAGAAGCGAAAGUGACGGUACCUGCAGAAAAAGCACCGGCUAACUACGUGCCAGCAGCCGCGGUAAUACGUAGGGUGCAAGCGUUGUCCGGAAUUAUUGGGCGUAAAGAGCUCGUAGGCGGUUUGUCACGUCUGCUGUGAAAAUCCAGGGCUCAACCUUGGACUUGCAGUGGGUACGGGCAGGCUAGAGUGCGGUAGGGGAGAGGGGAAUUCCUGGUGUAGCGGUGGUAUGCGCAGAUAUCAGGAGGAACACCAAUGGCGAAGGCACAUCUCUGGGCCGUAACUGACGCUGAGGAGCGAAAGCGUGGGGAGCGAACAGGAUUAGAUACCCGUGUAGUC